RNAcentral lists this ribosomal RNA (391 nucleotides) under uncultured bacterium. RNAcentral's name for it is "bacterial SSU rRNA". It matches the Rfam family "Bacterial small subunit ribosomal RNA", at positions 28 to 417 of the family's 1533-position model. The record is from RNAcentral.
GACGAACGCCGGCGGCGUGCUUAACACAUGCAAGUCGAGCGGUAAGGCCCGUUUCGGGGGUACACGAGCGGCGAACGGGUGAGUAACACGUGGGUGACCUGCCCUCAGCUCUGGGAUAAGCCUGGGAAACCGGGUCUAAUACUGGAUAUGACUCCAUGACGCAUGUUGUGGGGUGGAAAGCCUUGUGCGGCUGAGGAUGGGCCCGCGGCCUAUCAGCUUGUUGGUGGGGUGAUGGCCUACCAAGGCGACGACGGGUAGCCGGCCUGAGAGGGCGACCGGCCACACUGGGACUGAGACACGGCCCAGACUCCGUACGGGAGGCAGCAGGUGGGGAAUCUUGCGCAAUGGGCGAAAGCCUGACGCAGCGACGCCGCGUGAGGGAUGACGGCCU